CGGGACGGGUGAGUAAUGUCUGGGAAAUGCCUGAUGGAGGGGGAUAACUACUGGAAACGGUAGCUAAUACCGCAUAACGUCGCAAGACCAAAGAGGGGGACCUUCGGGCCUCUUGCCAUCGGAUGUGCCCAGAUGGGAUUAGCUAGUAGGUGGGGUAACGGCUCACCUAGGCGACGAUCCCUAGCUGGUCUGAGAGGAUGACCAGCCACACUGGAACUGAGACACGGUCCAG
RNAcentral lists this ribosomal RNA (232 nucleotides) under uncultured bacterium. RNAcentral's name for it is "partial 16S ribosomal RNA". It matches the Rfam family "Bacterial small subunit ribosomal RNA", at positions 100 to 334 of the family's 1533-position model. The record is from RNAcentral.